UACGUAGGGUGCAAACGUUAUCCGGAUUUAUUGGGCGUAAAGAGUUCGUAGGUGGUUUGGAAAGUCGGAUAUUAAAUAUCCCGGCUCAACCGGGGAAAUGUAUUCGAAACUUCCUGACUUGAGGUAUGUAGGGGAGGAUGGAACACACGGUGUAGCAGUGAAAUGCGUAGAUAUCGUGUGGAACGCCAAUGGUGAAGACAGUCCUCUGGACAUUACCUGACACUGAGGAACGAAAGCGUGGGUAG
This 245-nucleotide ribosomal RNA is filed under the name uncultured bacterium. Its description in RNAcentral is "partial 16S ribosomal RNA". It matches the Rfam family "Bacterial small subunit ribosomal RNA", at positions 524 to 768 of the family's 1533-position model. The record is from RNAcentral.